Molecule: ribosomal RNA, 468 nt
Filed under: uncultured bacterium
Lineage: Bacteria
Description: partial 16S ribosomal RNA
Rfam family: Bacterial small subunit ribosomal RNA
Source: RNAcentral
GACGAACGCUGGCGGCGUGCUUAACACAUGCAAGUCGAACGGAAAGGCCCUGCUUUUGUGGGGUGCUCGAGUGGCGAACGGGUGAGUAACACGUGAGUAACCUGCCCUUGACUUUGGGAUAACUUCAGGAAACUGGGGCUAAUACCGGAUAGGAGCUCCUGCUGCAUGGUGGGGGUUGGAAAGUUUCGGCGGUUGGGGAUGGACGCGCGGCUUAUCAGCUUGUUGGUGGGGUAGUGGCUUACCAAGGCUUUGACGGGUAGCCGGCCUGAGAGGGUGACCGGCCACAUUGGGACUGAGAUACGGCCCAGACUCCUACGGGAGGCAGCAGUGGGGAAUAUUGCACAAUGGGCGGAAGCCUGAUGCAGCAACGCCGCGUGCGGGAUGACGGCCUUCGGGUUGUAAACCGCUUUCGCCUGUGACGAAGCGUGAGUGACGGUAAUGUGUAAAGAAGCACCGGCUAACUACGUG